This 233-nucleotide ribosomal RNA is filed under the name uncultured Candidatus Saccharibacteria bacterium. RNAcentral describes it as "partial 16S ribosomal RNA". It matches the Rfam family "Bacterial small subunit ribosomal RNA", at positions 584 to 818 of the family's 1533-position model. The record is from RNAcentral. Lineage: Bacteria; Candidatus Saccharimonadota.
UAAGUGGCUAUUAAAUCGUGUGGCUCAACCAUAUCGCUGGUAGCCAAACUGACAAGCUUGAGUAUGUGAGGGGUCGCUGGGAUUCCUAGUGUAGGAGUGGAAUCCGUAGAUAUUAGGAGGAACACCAAUGGCGAAGGCAGGCGACUGGCACAUUACUGACGCUGAGGCUCGAAAGCGUGGGAGCGAACGGGAUUAGAUACCCCGGUAGUCCACGCCGUAAACUAUGGAUGCUA